CGAGCACGCGCGUGUGGCAUAUCAAUAAGCGGAGGAAAAGAAACUAACAAGGAUUCCCUUAGUAACGGCGAGUGAAGCGGGAAGAGCUCAAAUUUGAAAUCUUCAAGGUUCUACCUUGACGAAUUGUAGUUUAUAGAAGUGUUUUCUGUUAGUAGGAGUGGCAAAAGUUCUUUGGAAUAGGACAUCAUAGAGGGUGAGAAUCCCGUAUUUGGUCAUUCCUCCUAGCGUUGUGAUACACUUUCAACGAGUCGGAUUGUUUGGGAAUGCAGUCCAAAAUGGGUGGUAAAUUUCAUCUAAAGCUAAAUAUUGGCGAGAGACCGAUAGCGAACAAGUACCGUGAGGGAAAGAUGAAAAGAACUUUGAAAAGAGAGUUAAACAGUACGUGAAAUUGUCAAAAGGGAAGCGUUUGACACCAGUGUUGCUUUUUCCGAAAAUCAAUUACGAAUGUUUUGUUUUUAAGGAGUUAUGACUUCAUCGGCUUGCUUCUUUCUUUAUGAAACUUUCUUAAUGCACUUUUCGGUUAACAAGUCAACAUCAAUUUCUUUUGUUGUAAAAGGGUAUGAGGAAGGUGGCUUUCUUUUCGGAGAAAGUGUUUAUAGCCUUGUGCCUCUGCAAUCGGAGAGAUUGAGGUCUGCAGCGUAGAUCCUUCGGGGUUAGAUACGUUUGUGCUAAGUUAUAGCUUUUCAUAGACAACUUGUUGACUAUGUUUAGUCUUGUAGCUUACUCGCUGAUGCUAUUUUACCUACGCUUAGGAUGUUGAGUAGCGACAUACGCAC
RNAcentral lists this ribosomal RNA (776 nucleotides) under uncultured Neocallimastigales. RNAcentral's name for it is "partial large subunit ribosomal RNA". It matches the Rfam family "Eukaryotic large subunit ribosomal RNA", at positions 19 to 649 of the family's 3401-position model. The record is from RNAcentral. Lineage: Eukaryota; Fungi; Neocallimastigomycota; Neocallimastigomycetes; Neocallimastigales.